Molecule: ribosomal RNA, 331 nt
Filed under: uncultured Acholeplasma sp.
Lineage: Bacteria; Bacillati; Mycoplasmatota; Mollicutes; Acholeplasmatales; Acholeplasmataceae
Description: bacterial SSU rRNA
Rfam family: Bacterial small subunit ribosomal RNA
Source: RNAcentral
UUGUCGUCAGCUCGUGUCGUGAGAUGUUGGUUAAGUCCCGCAACGAGCGCAACCCUUAUUGCUAGUUACCAUCAUUAAGUUGGGGACUCUAGCGAGACUGCCAGUGAUAAACUGGAGGAAGGUAGGGAUGACGUCAAAUCAUCAUGCCCCUUAUGACCUGGGCUACAAACGUGAUACAAUGGCUGAAACAAAGGGCAGCGAAGCAGUGAUGUGAAGCGAAACCCAAAAAAGCAGUCUCAGUUCGGAUUGAAGUCUGCAACUCGACUUCAUGAAGUCGGAAUCGCUAGUAAUCGCGAAUCAGAACGUCGCGGUGAAUACGUUCUCGGGGUUU